AAUCAACGCUGGCGGCGUGCCUCAGACAUGCAAGUCGAACGAUUAAACUUUCCUUCGGGAAAGAUAUAAAGUGGCGCACGGGUGAGUAACACGUAGGUAAUGUACCUUUGGGUGGGGAAUAACCAUCGGAAACGAUGGCUAAUACCGCAUAAUGCAGCGGCAUCGCAAGAUGACAGUUGUUAAAGAUUUAUCGCCUAAAGAGCAGCCUGCGGCAGAUUAGGUAGNGGUAAGGUAAUGGCUUACCAAGCCUGCGAUCUGUAACCGACCUGAGAGGGUGGUCGGUCACACUGACACUGAAUAACGGGUCAGACUCCUACGGGAGGCAGCAGUCGGGAAUUUUGGGCAAUGGGCGAAAGCCUGACCCAGCAACGCCGCGUGAAGGACGAAGUCUUUCGGGAUGUAAACUUCGUAAGAAUAGGAAGAAUAAAUGACGGUACUAUUU
Molecule: ribosomal RNA, 442 nt
Filed under: uncultured bacterium
Lineage: Bacteria
Description: bacterial SSU rRNA
Rfam family: Bacterial small subunit ribosomal RNA
Source: RNAcentral